AUGGGUGGCCUCUCUGUUCAGCACCCGUGGGCCUUUACCUUCGGCCUCCUAGGCAACGUCAUCUCCUUCAUGACCUACCUGGCCCCACUGCCGACGUUCUACAGGAUCUACAAGAACAAGUCGACGCAGGGCUUCCAGUCCGUCCCUUACGUGGUGGCGCUCUUCAGCGCCAUGCUGUGGAUCUACUACGCGCUGCUCAAGUCCGACGAGUACCUCCUCAUCACCAUCAAUUCAGCCGGCUGCGUCAUCGAGACCAUCUACAUCGUCCUCUACCUCGCCUACGCGCACAAGCAGGCCAGGAUCUUCACCGCCAAGAUCCUCCUCCUCCUCAACGUCGGCGUCUUCGGCCUCAUCCUCCUACUCACCCUGCUUCUCACGGCGGGUGAGAGGCGCAUCGUCAUGCUCGGGUGGGUCUGCGUCGGCUUCUCGGUCAGCGUCUUCGUCGCGCCCCUCAGCGUCAUCCGUCUUGUGGUGCGCACCCGAAGCGUGGAGUUCAUGCCCUUCUCCCUCUCCCUCUCCCUCACCGCCAGCGCAGUCGUCUGGUUCCUUUACGGCCUCCUCAUCAAGGACAAAUACGUCGCCCUGCCCAACAUUCUUGGGUUCGCCUUCGGGGUUAUCCAGAUGGGGCUCUACGCCCUCUACCGCAACGCUACGCCCAGGCCGGCGCCCAAGGAGGUGGAUGCCCCCGUGUCCGACGAUGGUGCCGUCAAGGCGACCGAGCACGUCGUCAACAUCUCUAAGCUCGGCCCGGCGGCGGCCGCCGUUGAGCUGCCCACGGUGAAGGAGGGGGCGGCCAAGAAGAGCGGCGUGGCCUCCGCCAGCGACGACUCCAAGGGGACACUCGAGAAGCUUGACAAGGCAAUCCAUGUCGAGCAAGUCUAG
RNAcentral lists this ribosomal RNA (882 nucleotides) under Triticum aestivum (bread wheat). RNAcentral describes it as "partial small subunit ribosomal RNA". Lineage: Eukaryota; Viridiplantae; Streptophyta; Magnoliopsida; Poales; Poaceae. The record is from RNAcentral.